CCUAUGGGAGGCAGCAGUGAGGAAUAUUGGUCAAUGGACGAGAGUCUGAACCAGCCAAGUAGCGUGAAGGAUGACUGCCAUAUGGGUUGUAAACUUCUUUUAUAAAGGAAUAAAACGAGGCACGGGUGCCUUUUUGCAUGUACUUUAUGAAUAAGGAUCGGCUAACUCCGUGUCAGCAGCAGCGGUAAUACGGAGGAUCCGAGCGUUAUCCGGAUUUAGGGGGUUUAAAGGGCGCGUAGAUGGGUUGUUAAGUCAGUGGUGAAAGUUUGCGGCUCAACCGUAAAAUUGCAAUUGUUACUGGCAGUCUUGAGUACAGUUGAGGUAGGCAGAAUUCGUUGUGUAGCGGUGAAAUGCUUAGAUAUCACGAAGAACCCCGAUUGCGAAGGCAGCUUACUAAACUGUGACUGACAUUGAUGCUCGAAAGUGUGGGUAUCAAACAGGAUUAGAUACCCUUGUAGUC
Molecule: ribosomal RNA, 460 nt
Filed under: uncultured bacterium
Lineage: Bacteria
Description: partial 16S ribosomal RNA
Rfam family: Bacterial small subunit ribosomal RNA
Source: RNAcentral